AAUCAAGGAAGGUCGAGUAAGUUCGCUACAUCCUGUAGCAAACGCGACCGACCUCACGUCAUGUGAG
Small RNA from Pontibacillus yanchengensis Y32, 67 nucleotides. It matches the Rfam family "Bacillaceae-1 RNA". NCBI's taxonomy places the organism in Bacteria, Bacillati, Bacillota, Bacilli, Caryophanales, Bacillaceae. The record is from Rfam.